This 600-nucleotide ribosomal RNA is filed under the name Triticum aestivum (bread wheat). RNAcentral describes it as "partial small subunit ribosomal RNA". Lineage: Eukaryota; Viridiplantae; Streptophyta; Magnoliopsida; Poales; Poaceae. The record is from RNAcentral.
AUGGAGAAGAAGCGGGUGGCCAUCAUCGGAGCCGGGGUGAGCGGCCUUACUGCGUGCAAGCACGCGUUGGAGCAUGGCUUCCGUCCUGUCCUGUUUGAGGCCGACGCAGACGCCAUCGGUGGCGUGUGGGCACACAUGCUCCCCUCAACGCGGCUUCAGACACCACGGCCAUAUUACCAGUUCACCGACUUUCAGUGGCCAUCGGGAGUGUCAGAUUUGUACCCUGACCAUAACCAGGUCACGGAUUACCUGCGCUCGUAUGCGCGCCACUUCGGCGUGCUAGAGUGCAUCAGGUUUGGCACCCGGGUUCCUGCUCUGGAGUACUCCAGUGAUGUGAACGAGGGGGAGAUGAUGGCGUGGGAUCAGUGGGCUGGCAACGGCAAGGCGUUCGGCAGUGGUCGAGGCGAGUGGAGGCUCACCGUGCAUCGCGGGGACCAUGUUGAGAUACAUGUGGCCGACUUUGUGGUUCUUUGUCUCGGACGAUUCAGUGGCAGGCCCAAUAUUCCCGCUUUCCCGCUGGGGAAAGGGCCAGAGGCCUUUGAUGGCACUGUGAUCCAUUCCAUGGAUUUCUCCAACAUGGACGAUGCAAAGGCCACCUAA